Molecule: ribosomal RNA, 251 nt
Filed under: uncultured prokaryote
Description: partial 16S rRNA
Rfam family: Bacterial small subunit ribosomal RNA
Source: RNAcentral
ACGGAGGGUGCAAGCGUUAAUCGGAAUUACUGGGCGUAAAGCGCACGCAGGCGGUUUGUUAAGUCAGAUGUGAAAUCCCCGGGCUCAACCUGGGAACUGCAUCUGAUACUGGUGAGCUUGAGUCUCGUAGAGGGGGGUAGAAUUCCAGGUGUAGCGGUGAAAUGCGUAGAGAUCAAGAGGAACGCCGAAGGCGAAGGCGGUGCACUGGGCGUGGACUGACGCUGAGGUGCGAAAGCGUGGGGAGCAAACGG